This 497-nucleotide ribosomal RNA is filed under the name uncultured bacterium. RNAcentral's name for it is "partial 16S ribosomal RNA". It matches the Rfam family "Bacterial small subunit ribosomal RNA", at positions 28 to 507 of the family's 1533-position model. The record is from RNAcentral.
GAUGAACGCUGGCGGCGUGCCUAAUACAUGCAAGUCGAGCGAACGGACGAGAAGCUUGCUUCUCUGAUGUUAGCGGCGGACGGGUGAGUAACACGUGGAUAACCCACCUAUAAGACUGGGAUAACUUCGGGAAACCGGAGCUAAUACCGCAUAAUAUUUUGAACCGCAGGGUUCAAAAGUGAAAGACGGUCUUGCUGUCACUUAUAGAUGGAUCCGCGCUGCAUUAGCUAGUUGGUAAGGUAACGGCUUACCAAGGCAACGAUGCAUAGCCGACCUGAGAGGGUGAUCGGCCACACUGGAACUGGGACACGGUCCAGACUCCUACGGGAGGCAGCAGUAGGGAAUCUUCCGCAAUGGGCGAAAGCCUGCCGGAGCAACGCCGCGUGAGUGAUGAAGGUCUUCGGAUCGUAAAACUCUGUUAUUAGGGAAGAACAUAUGUGUAAGUAACUGUGCCCAUCUUGACGGUACCUAGUCAGAAAGCCACGGCUAACUACGUG